Molecule: long non-coding RNA, 432 nt
Filed under: Neogobius melanostomus (round goby)
Lineage: Eukaryota; Metazoa; Chordata; Actinopteri; Gobiiformes; Gobiidae
Description: lncRNA (ENSNMLG00000022751.1)
Source: RNAcentral
UUUCCAGGCAAAUCUGGGGACUGGUUACCUUCUAGCAGAGGUGAGAGUUGUACAUAGAGAGCGUUGAGAGCUAUCAGUACCUUCAUCUCAAAUGACUGAAUAUAAUUUACAAUUGUUUUAGGUGGCCGAAGCUCAAGAAGAAGUCAAAACAGAACAAGUUCAGAUUCACAAGGUCACGUGAGGCGAGGCAAAACGAAGGACUCAAAGAAUGUGCAAGCGCUGGGCAGCAAAGCAAAAGGGAAAGAUCGACUGACUGGCAGGGCCAGGAGGUCGGUAAAUGCCAAAUAUCACUAUUAAAUUCACUCAUACAAGAAACGUAAUGUCUUUGUUAAAAUGAAAUCUGAAAAAGCAUAUUGUGUUCAUGUGCCCCCGCAAAAUCCACAGACUUGAUUUGGAAGUUGUUGUAGCAUCUGACUAAAUAACCCAAGGAGG